AUUGAACGCUGGCGGCAGGCUUAACACAUGCAAGUCGAGCGGGGUGAUGGUGCUUGCACUAUCACUUAGCGGCGGACGGGUGAGUAAUGCUUAGGAAUCUGCCUAUUAGUGGGGGACAACAUCUCGAAAGGGAUGCUAAUACCGCAUACGUCCUACGGGAGAAAGCAGGGGAUCACUUGUGACCUUGCGCUAAUAGAUGAGCCUAAGUCGGAUUAGCUAGUUGGUGGGGUAAAGGCCUACCAAGGCGACGAUCUGUAGCGGGUCUGAGAGGAUGAGCCGCCACACUGGGAAUGAGACACGGCCAGGACUCCUACGGGAGGCAGCAGUGGGGAAUAUUGGACAAUGGGGGGAACCCUGAUCCAGCCAUGCCGCGUGUGUGAAGAAGGCCUUAUGGUUGUAAAGCACUUUAAGCGAGGAGGAGGCUCUUUUGGUUAAUACCCAAGAUGAGUGGACGUUACUCGCAGAAUAAGCACCGGCUAACUCUGUGCCAGCCGCCGCCGUAA
Molecule: ribosomal RNA, 503 nt
Filed under: uncultured bacterium
Lineage: Bacteria
Description: partial 16S ribosomal RNA
Rfam family: Bacterial small subunit ribosomal RNA
Source: RNAcentral